UCCAGACUCCUACGGGAGGCAGCAGUGGGGAAUAUUGCACAAUGGGGGAAACCCUGAUGCAGCGACGCCGCGUGAGUGAAGAAGUAUUUCGGUAUGUAAAGCUCUAUCAGCAGGGAAGAAAAUGACGGUACCUGACCAAGAAGCCCCGGCUAACUACGUGCCAGCAGCCGCGGUAAUACGUAGGGGGCAAGCGUUAUCCGGAUUUACUGGGUGUAAAGGGAGCGUAGACAGUUGUGCAAGUCAGAAGUGAAAGCCCGGGGCGCAACUCCGGGACUGCUUUUGAAACUGUGAAACUGGAGUGCAGGAGAGGUAAGCGGAAUUCCUGGUGUAGCGGUGAAAUGCGUAGAUAUCAGGAGGAACACCAGUGGCGAAGGCGGCGUACUGGACUGUAACUGACGUUGAGGCCCGAAAGCGUGGGGAGCAAACAGGAUUAGAGACCCGAGUAAAA
RNAcentral lists this ribosomal RNA (448 nucleotides) under uncultured bacterium. Its description in RNAcentral is "bacterial SSU rRNA". It matches the Rfam family "Bacterial small subunit ribosomal RNA", at positions 330 to 793 of the family's 1533-position model. The record is from RNAcentral.